This 253-nucleotide ribosomal RNA is filed under the name uncultured bacterium. Its description in RNAcentral is "partial 16S ribosomal RNA". It matches the Rfam family "Bacterial small subunit ribosomal RNA", at positions 524 to 776 of the family's 1533-position model. The record is from RNAcentral.
GACAGAGGGUGCAAACGUUGUUCGGAAUUACUGGGCGUAAAGCGAGUGUAGGCGGUCUUGAAAGUCGGAUGUGAAAGCCCUGGGCUCAACCCAGGAAGUGCAUUCGAUACUCCAAGGCUAGAGUACUGGAGAGGUGGGUGGAAUUCUCGGUGUAGAGGUGAAAUUCGUAGAUAUCGAGAGGAACACCGGCGGCGAAGGCGGCCCACUAGACAGAUACUGACGCUGAGGAGCGAAAGCGUGGGGAGCGAACAGG